UGAAGAGCGGGAAAUCUAGAUCCCAAGCAUGCACAAUUCACUAUAGGGUUCAGGCUUCUAUGGGGAUCUAAUGUCCUGCUGAUCUGAAAGGAGGAGGAGCUCAGCAGGCAAUGUGAGCAGCUGCAAACACAGAGGCAGCUUUGCUUGCUAGCCUGCUGCCCAUCUCUUGCUUUGCUGCCCAGUUCCUAACAAGUCACAGACCAAUAUCAACGUUUGGAGACCUCUGCUCUAAUUGAAAUCCAUCACACGCCUCCUUGCUCAAAUGUAUUUAUUCAGCAUUCAUUGAGCACCACUCAUAUCUCAGACACUGUAGAUCUAAGACCUGUAAAACCAGAACUCCCACUACCAAAGGCCCAUAAUGUCAAAGGGAGAAGGCGAGAAGUAAUAUCAAAAUUGCAAAGUAGGGCAGUAAGUGCUACAGAGCAGACAUGUAGGAGGAGGACCUGGUCACGAUGGACCUCAAGAGGAGAGGCUGGCAAUUAAGCCUUCAGCGCAUGUUCUUAGGGGGAACCACAGAUCUGACCCCUUACAGUGGGUGUCCAGCUCACCCCUGCAGAAUGGCUGCAUGGCUGGAGGGCCCUUCCAUAGUGGAGGGUAGACACACUCACUCUCAGAAGAUGGAAGAGGACCACUCAUCCUGUUAUCUUCCUUCAGCAGGCAUUUUCUCAGGAGAUACAGUCAUCUACCAGACUUGCUAUCACCUGCAUCCUAGAAACUUUGUGGUGCAGGGUGAUUAUAUUUGCCAUCAUCCUCUCCACACCCCUAUCUACUUUGGACAUCUGUGGGUCAGGUCCACGUGCACGGUGGACAGGUCACAUCACACUGGGUCCUCAGGUACAAGGCAGGUAUGACCAGGCCUUCUUUAAUAAAAUCUAUUCUGUGCAAGGAUUAAUAGAACUAC
RNAcentral lists this long non-coding RNA (901 nucleotides) under Fukomys damarensis (Damara mole-rat). Its description in RNAcentral is "lncRNA (ENSFDAG00000029647.1)". Lineage: Eukaryota; Metazoa; Chordata; Mammalia; Rodentia; Bathyergidae. The record is from RNAcentral.